RNAcentral lists this small nuclear RNA (21 nucleotides) under Arabidopsis thaliana (thale cress). Its description in RNAcentral is "snRNA_01544". The record is from RNAcentral. Lineage: Eukaryota; Viridiplantae; Streptophyta; Magnoliopsida; Brassicales; Brassicaceae.
CGCCGGUGGGAAGACUGCGCA